RNAcentral lists this non-coding RNA (894 nucleotides) under Gadomus colletti. RNAcentral's name for it is "partial 12S rRNA". It matches the Rfam family "Bacterial small subunit ribosomal RNA", at positions 316 to 1533 of the family's 1533-position model. Lineage: Eukaryota; Metazoa; Chordata; Actinopteri; Gadiformes; Macrouridae. The record is from RNAcentral.
GCUCCCGUGCAAAUGCCCUUAAUGUCCCGCCCGGAACCAAGGAGCAGGUAUCAGGCACGUGUAGACAGCCCAUAACGCCUUGUUCAGCCACACCCCUACGGGUAGUCAGCAGUGAUAAAAUUUAAGCCAUAAGUGAAAACUUGACUUAGUAACGGUUAAGAGGGCCGGUAAAUCUCGUGCCAGCCACCGCGGUUAUACGAGAGGUCCGAGUUGAUAAAAAACGGCGUAAAGAGUGGUUAAGAAAAUAAAAGAAAUAGGGCCGAAGAGUUUCAUUGCAGUUAUAAGCUUUACGAAAUCAUUAAGUACAUUUACGAAAGUAGCCCUAACAAUACUCUGACUCCACGAGAGCCAUAAGACAAACUGGGAUUAGAUACCCCACUAUGUAUGGUUGUAAAAUUUGAUGGCUUGAUACUCAAACCAUUCGCCAGAGAAUUACGAGCACGAGCUUAAAACUCAAAGGACUUGGCGGUGCUUUAGAUCCCCCUAGAGGAGCCUGUUCUGUAACUGAUAAUCCUCGUUAAACCUCACCACCUCUAGUUCUCAUAACCGUCUAUAUACCGCCGUCGCAAGCUUACCCUGUGAAGGUUAAAUAGUAAGCGAAAUUGGUAAUACCAAAAACGUCAGGUCGAGGUGUAGCGAAUGGGGUGGGAAGAAAUGGGCUACAUUCUCUAUAGGAGAGAAUACGAAUGGUGGUUUGAAAUAGGCCGCACGGAAGGUGGAUUUAGUAGUAAGUAGGGAGCAGAGUGCCUUGCUGAAAAUGGCUCUAAAGCGCGUACACACCGCCCGUCACUCUCUCCUAAUGUGAUUUAAAAGUUUACUUAAAUUGAUUUAUACAAGAUAAGGGGAGACAAGUCGUAACAUGGUAAGCGUACCGGAAGGUGCGCUUGGAUCAAU